RNAcentral lists this transfer RNA (77 nucleotides) under Firmicutes bacterium CAG:822. Its description in RNAcentral is "transfer RNA-Met(CAT)". It matches the Rfam family "tRNA". Rfam says of the family: Transfer RNA (tRNA) molecules are approximately 80 nucleotides in length. Their secondary structure includes four short double-helical elements and three loops (D, anti-codon, and T loops). The record is from RNAcentral. Lineage: Bacteria; Bacillati; Bacillota.
GGCGAGAUAGCACAGUUGGCUAGUGCAAUCGGUUCAUACCCGAUAGGUCGAGGGUUCGAAUCCCCCUCUCGCUACCA